This 75-nucleotide transfer RNA is filed under the name Methylobacterium organophilum. Its description in RNAcentral is "tRNA-Val". It matches the Rfam family "tRNA". Rfam says of the family: Transfer RNA (tRNA) molecules are approximately 80 nucleotides in length. Lineage: Bacteria; Pseudomonadati; Pseudomonadota; Alphaproteobacteria; Hyphomicrobiales; Methylobacteriaceae. The record is from RNAcentral.
GGACGGUUAGCACAGCGGUAGUGCGUUCCCUUCACACGGGAGAGGUCGUAGGUUCGAUCCCUACACCGUCCACCA